This 83-nucleotide ribosomal RNA is filed under the name Enterococcus faecium. RNAcentral describes it as "partial 23S ribosomal RNA". The record is from RNAcentral. Lineage: Bacteria; Bacillati; Bacillota; Bacilli; Lactobacillales; Enterococcaceae.
GAUGAUCAGGUAGAUAGGUCAGGAGUGGAAGUACAGUGAUGUAUGGAGCGGACUGAUACUAAUCGAUCGAGGACUUAACCAAU